CCCCUCUACCGAGGACUAACACUUACCCUGCUCCUCUGAGCCCUCAUCCAGUAUUUAUUCAAGGGGGAGCUGCGACGUUUUCACGGAGGAUGGACGAACCGAUCCUUUGUCAGUCCAGGCACCGCCGCGUUCACCGACCUCUGGACCGCUGAAUCCGUUUUCAGGAUCCAGUAAAUGUCCCAGCCAAUUCCCGGGAUCUAAUCCUGCUCCUGAUCCGCGCCAAAGGACACGUAACCUCUCUGGGUCUCCAGGGCCAAAGGUUUCCAAGAAGGUGCAUUUCAUCAAGAAUAUGAGACAGUAUGACACUCGAGGGAGCAGGUGAGUUGGCGGGUCUGAUAUUGUUUGGGAAAUAUUUUCCCUGUGAGGAGGAGCUGUAUUUGUUUAAUCUUUUUGAGAAAUAAUCUGUAUAAAUUACUUCAGACCAGGGGUCUUCAAGUUUUUGAGGAGCCUUCGAGCACAAAUAAAACAGAGUUGAUUUUUGAGCUUGGCCAAUAAUAGCAUGAAUAUAAUGUAGUACCCUAAUAACGUAUUUACAGUUUUCAUACUUUAUGAAUCUUGCAUUGCAAAGCCAAUUUAACUCUUACAUAAUCAUUAUUGAGUCAAAUUAAUAAAUUGCAUAUUCAUUUUAAAACCUUUCAACGAAGGAAAACAAUGAAACAUUUAAUUUUAACUUCUUAACUUAUUAAUAAAAAAAAAUUACUUAUAAUUUUUAACUUUCUAUCAAUAUUAGUUUUUGUAUUUUUUUAUUAACAAUCUUGUUUAAUGCAUUUAUUUUAUUUUUAAUUUUCAGAAAUUAUUUUUAAAUAUAAUUGGUCCUUUGUUAGGCUAGUCCUUUAUUAGCACUUUCUUAUAAAUAACUUGUGUAGAAUGGAGGUGCUCAGACAGUCCCAUACUGGGCUCAUGUCAGAUAAGGUGAAUAUAAAAUGGUGAAGUGGAUGCUGGACUGUUUCCUCGUGCAGUAAAGUUCUUUGUUAUAUAACUGUAGUGUAAUCUCAUGCUGAGUGAAACAGUGGAGCUUCAGACAGACUCUGUGAUUCCUUGGUUAACUUAAUAACUGGCGUAAGUACUCACUGAGAUAACUCACUUAGGUUCUCACACAGACGAAAUGAGGGAUAGAUAUGUCUGUCUACACGAGGAACAACCAGU
This 1146-nucleotide long non-coding RNA is filed under the name Carassius auratus (goldfish). RNAcentral's name for it is "lncRNA (ENSCARG00000065698.1)". Lineage: Eukaryota; Metazoa; Chordata; Actinopteri; Cypriniformes; Cyprinidae. The record is from RNAcentral.